GACAGAGGUGCCGAGCGUUAGGCGGAAUCACUGGGCUUAAAGCGUGUGUAGGCGGGGCGUUAAGUGUCUUGGGAAAUCCCCCGGCUCAACCGGGGAAUGGCUGGGCAUACUGGCGAUCUUGAGCAGUCUAGGGGCAGAUGGAACAAGUGGUGGAGCGGUGAAAUGCGUAGAUAUCACUUGGAACGCCAAAGGUGAAAACAGUCUGCUGGGGACUUGCUGACGCUGAGACACGAAAGCCAGGGGAGCGAACGGG
Molecule: ribosomal RNA, 253 nt
Filed under: uncultured bacterium
Lineage: Bacteria
Description: partial 16S ribosomal RNA
Rfam family: Bacterial small subunit ribosomal RNA
Source: RNAcentral